RNAcentral lists this ribosomal RNA (422 nucleotides) under uncultured bacterium. RNAcentral describes it as "partial 16S ribosomal RNA". It matches the Rfam family "Bacterial small subunit ribosomal RNA", at positions 360 to 776 of the family's 1533-position model. The record is from RNAcentral.
AAUUUUGGACAAUGGGGGAAACCCUGAUCCAGCCAUCCCGCGUAUGAUGAAGGCCUUCGGGAUGUAAAGUACUCUUGUCUUAGAGGAAAAUGUAUCCCCUAAUACGGGAUAUUGCGUACGUUAUCUGCAGAAUAAGCACCGGCUAACUACGUCCCAGCAGCCGCGGUAAUAAGAAGGGUGCAAGCGUUAAUCGGAAUUAUGGGGCGUAAAGUGUGUGUAGGCGGUUCGGAAAGAAAGAUGUGAAAUCCCAGGGCUCAACCUUGGAACUGCAUUUUUAACUGCCGAGCUAGAGUAUGUCAGAGGGGGGUAGAAUUCCACGUGUAGCAGUGAAAUGCGUAGAUAUGUGGAGGAAUACCGAUGGCGAAGGCAGCCCCCUGGGAUAAUACUGACGCUCAGACACGAAAGCGUGGGGAGCAAACAGG